CUACGGGUUGCUCCAGUGGGGAAUAUUGCGCAAUGGGGGAAACCCUGACGCAGCAACGCCGUGUGGAGGAUGAAGGCCCUAGGGUUGUAAACUUCUGUUGAGAGGGAAGAAGUUCUGACGGUACCUCUUAAGAAAGCACCGGCUAAAUCCGUGCCAGCAGCCGCGGUAAUACGGAUGGUGCAAGCGUUAUUCGGAAUGUACUAGGUGUAAAGGGCGUGUAGGCGGCUUGUUAAGUUAGGGGUGAAAUCUUACGGCUCAACCGUAUGGCUGCAUCUAAAACUGGCAGGCUAGAGUAUGGAAGGGGAAAACGGAAUUCCUUGUGUAGCGGUGGAAUGUGUAGAUACAAGGAGGAACACCCAUGGCGAAAGCAGUUUUCUGGUUCAAUACUGACGCUAAGGCGCGAAAGCUAGGGGAGCAAACAGGAUUAGAUACCCUAGUAGUC
This 442-nucleotide ribosomal RNA is filed under the name uncultured bacterium. RNAcentral's name for it is "partial 16S ribosomal RNA". It matches the Rfam family "Bacterial small subunit ribosomal RNA", at positions 339 to 795 of the family's 1533-position model. The record is from RNAcentral.